Long non-coding RNA from Gavialis gangeticus (Gharial), 124 nucleotides. RefSeq lists it as uncharacterized. The transcript has 3 exons. The record is from RefSeq and is a predicted model, not a curated record. NCBI's taxonomy places the organism in Eukaryota, Metazoa, Chordata, Crocodylia, Gavialidae.
AAUGGGAGUUCUUGCUGGGGCAGAGCACCUUUGGGGGUGCUCGCCACUUGAGGGCUUUCACAGGCCCUGAGUGGAGCCUGCUUGGGCGGGGCAGCAGGGGGAACCUCCCCCAGGAACUAUUCUA